AAGCUCGUAGUUGAAUUUCGGGUUAGUAGGUUGGUCAUGCCUCUGGUAUGUACUGGUCUCACUGAUUCCUCCUUCCUGAUGAACCGUAAUGCCAUUAAUUUGGUGUUGCGGGGAAUUUGGACUGUUACUUUGAAAAAAUUAGAGUGUUUAAAGCAAGCUAACGCUCGAAUACAUUAGCAUGGAAUAAUGAAAUAGGACGUUCGAUCCUAUUUUGUUUGGUUUCUUAGGAUUGACGUAAUGAUUAAUAGGGAUAGUUGGG
This 259-nucleotide ribosomal RNA is filed under the name uncultured Glomus. RNAcentral describes it as "partial 18S ribosomal RNA". It matches the Rfam family "Eukaryotic small subunit ribosomal RNA", at positions 624 to 886 of the family's 1831-position model. Lineage: Eukaryota; Fungi; Glomeromycota; Glomeromycetes; Glomerales; Glomeraceae. The record is from RNAcentral.